Long non-coding RNA from Oncorhynchus keta (chum salmon), 845 nucleotides. RefSeq lists it as uncharacterized. Lineage: Eukaryota; Metazoa; Chordata; Actinopteri; Salmoniformes; Salmonidae. The transcript has 4 exons. The record is from RefSeq and is a predicted model, not a curated record.
UGAUACAGGGGAGACAGAUGGACCUCUGUGGAUUAGGUGAAGGAGGGGUUGAGGUCAGGACAGAGAUGUGUUGAUACAGGGGAGACAGAUGGACCUCUGUGGAUUAGGUGAAGGAGGGGUUGAGGUCAGGACAGAGAUGUGUUGAUACAGGGGAGACAGAUGGACCUCUGUGGAUUAGGUGAAGGAGGGGUUGAGGUCAGGACAGAGAUGUGUUGAUACAGGGGAGACAGAUGGACCUCUGUGGAUUAGGUGAAGGAGGGGUUGAGGUCAGGACAGAGAUGUGUUGAUACAGGGGAGACAGAUGGACCUCUGUGGAUUAGGUGAAGGAGGGGUUGAGGUCAGGAGGUCAGGACAGAGAUGUGUUGAUACAGGGGAGACAGAUGGACCUCUGUGGAUUAGGUGAAGGAGGGGUUGAGGUCAGGACAGAGAUGUGUUGAUACAGGGGAGACAGAUGGACCUCUGUGGAUUAGGUGAAGGAGGGGUUGAGGUCAGGACAGAGAUGUGUUGAUACAGGGGAGACAGAUGGACCUCUGUGGAUUAGGUGAAGGAGGGGUUGAGGUCAGGACAGAGAUGUGUUGAUACAGGGGAGACAGAUGGACCUCUGUGGAUUAGGUGAAGGAGGGGUUGAGGUCAGGAGGUCAGGACAGAGAUGUGUUGAUACAGGGGAGACAGAUGGACCUCUGUGGAUUAGGUGAAGGAGGGGUUGAGGUCAGGACAGAGAUGUGUUGAUACAGGGGAGACAGAUGGACCUCUGUGGAUUAGGUGAAGGAGGGGUUGAGGUCAGGAGGUCAGGACAGAGAUGUGUUGAUACAGGGGAGACAGAUGGACCUCUGUGGAUUAGGUGA